AACGAACGCUGGCGGCAGGCCUAACACAUGCAAGUCGAACGCCGUAGCAAUACGGAGUGGCAGACGGGUGAGUAACACGUGGGAACGUACCCUUCGGUUCGGAAUAACUCAGGGAAACUUGAGCUAAUACCGGAUACGUCCGAGAGGAGAAAGAUUUAUCGCCGAGGGAUCGGCCCGCGUCUGAUUAGCUUGUUGGUGAGGUAACGGCUCACCAAGGCGACGAUCAGUAGCUGGUCNGAGAGGAUGAUCAGCCACAUUGGGACUGAGACACGGCCCAAACUCCUACGGGAGGCAGCAGUGGGGAAUAUUGGACAAUGGGCGCAAGCCUGAUCCAGCCAUGCCGCGUGAGUGAUGAAGGCCCUAGGGUUGUAAAGCUCUUUUACCCGGGAAGAUAAUGACUGUACCGGGAGAAUAAGCCCCGGCUAACUUCGUGCCA
RNAcentral lists this ribosomal RNA (436 nucleotides) under uncultured bacterium. RNAcentral describes it as "bacterial SSU rRNA". It matches the Rfam family "Bacterial small subunit ribosomal RNA", at positions 29 to 510 of the family's 1533-position model. The record is from RNAcentral.